Peptococcaceae bacterium BRH_c8a is the source of this 101-nucleotide non-coding RNA. NCBI's taxonomy places the organism in Bacteria, Bacillati, Bacillota, Clostridia, Eubacteriales, Peptococcaceae. The record is from Rfam.
GGGGCGGUAACCUUUUGGUAGCGCACCCGAAAUGUACCGGUUUGUUUGAUGUUUGGGUAAUGGUAAUGCCGCUUGGAGCCGGAACGGACCGAGACGGGUUA